This 404-nucleotide ribosomal RNA is filed under the name uncultured bacterium. Its description in RNAcentral is "bacterial SSU rRNA". It matches the Rfam family "Bacterial small subunit ribosomal RNA", at positions 355 to 776 of the family's 1533-position model. The record is from RNAcentral.
UGGGGAAUAUUGGACAAUGGGCGCAAGCCUGAUCCAGCCAUGCCGCGUGAGUGAUGAAGGCCUUAGGGUUGUAAAGCUCUUUCGGCGGGGACGAUAAUGACGGUACCCGCAGAAGAAGCCCCGGCUAACUUCGUGCCAGCAGCCGCGGUAAUACGAAGGGGGCUAGCGUUGUUCGGAAUCACUGGGCGUAAAGGGCGCGUAGGCGGCUUGAUAAGUCGGGGGUGAAAGCCUGUGGCUCAACCACAGAAUUGCCUUCGAUACUGUCUGGCUUGAGACCGGAAGAGGUAAGUGGAACUGCGAGUGUAGAGGUGAAAUUCGUAGAUAUUCGCAAGAACACCAGUGGCGAAGGCGGCUUACUGGUCCGGUUCUGACGCUGAGGCGCGAAAGCGUGGGGAGCAAACAGG